This 397-nucleotide ribosomal RNA is filed under the name Allonemobius fasciatus. RNAcentral describes it as "partial 12S ribosomal RNA". Lineage: Eukaryota; Metazoa; Arthropoda; Insecta; Orthoptera; Trigonidiidae. The record is from RNAcentral.
UAUUAUUCUUAUUAAAAAUAAACAAGACUUGAGUAGUAUUAGAUAAAGGCUUGAAACUUAAUAAAUUUGGCGGUGUUUUAGUCCAUUCAGAGGAAUCUGUCCUGUAAUUGAAAGUACACGAAGGGAAAUACUUAAUUUUGUUUAGUUUGUAUACCGCCGUCGUAAGAAUAUUUUAUUUGGAAGGAAAUUAAAUUUCAGAAUUAAGAAUAAUUUAGGAUGUCAGGUCAAGGUGCAAUAUAUGAUUAAGAAGAGAUGGAUUACAAUAUUAAGUUAAAUAUAAUGGAAUUUGAAUUGUGAAAGAUAAGGAAAGUGGAUUUGAUAGUAAACUUAAAUCUUAUUAAGUUGAUUCAGGCUCUAAAACAUGCACACAUCGCCCGUCGCUCUCAUUAUAAAUGAG